This 58-nucleotide transfer RNA is filed under the name Bremia sonchicola. Its description in RNAcentral is "partial tRNA-Gln". It matches the Rfam family "tRNA", at positions 1 to 57 of the family's 71-position model. From Rfam's summary of the family: Transfer RNA (tRNA) molecules are approximately 80 nucleotides in length. Their secondary structure includes four short double-helical elements and three loops (D, anti-codon, and T loops). The record is from RNAcentral. Lineage: Eukaryota; Oomycota; Peronosporomycetes; Peronosporales; Peronosporaceae.
UGAAGUAUAGCCAAGCGGUAAGGCCUCCGUUUUUGGUACGGAAAAUCAAAGGUUCGAA